GACGAACGCUGGCGGCGUGCCUAAUACAUGCAAGUAGAACGCACAGUUUAUACCGUAGCUUGCUACACCAUAAACUGUGAGUUGUGAACGGGUGAGUAACGCGUAGGUAACCUGCCUGGUAGCGGGGGAUAACUAUUGGAAACGAUAGCUAAUACCGCAUAAUAUUAAUUAUUGCAUGAUAAUUGAUUGAAAGAUGCAAUUGCAUCACUACCAGAUGGACCUGCGUUGUAUUAGCUAGUAGGUGAGGUAACGGCUCACCUAGGCGACGAUACAUAGCCGACCUGAGAGGGUGAUCGGCCACACUGGGACUGAGACACGGCCCAGACUCCUACGGGAGGCAGCAGUAGGGAAUCUUCGGCAAUGGACGAAAGUCUGACCGAGCAACGCCGCGUGAGUGAAGAAGGUUUUCGGAUCGUAAAGCUCUGUUGUAAGAGAAGAACGGGUGUGAGAGUGGAAAGUUCACACUGUGACGGUAUCUUACCAGAAAGGGACGGCUAACUACGUG
This 505-nucleotide ribosomal RNA is filed under the name uncultured bacterium. RNAcentral's name for it is "partial 16S ribosomal RNA". It matches the Rfam family "Bacterial small subunit ribosomal RNA", at positions 28 to 507 of the family's 1533-position model. The record is from RNAcentral.